This 1128-nucleotide unclassified non-coding RNA is filed under the name Hevea brasiliensis (rubber tree). Lineage: Eukaryota; Viridiplantae; Streptophyta; Magnoliopsida; Malpighiales; Euphorbiaceae. The record is from RNAcentral.
GAACGGACGUUUGGCAAUGUUUUACAUGUUUGGAUUCUUUGUUCAGGCUAUUGUGACUGGAAAGGGACCUAUUGAGAAUCUCUAUGAUCACUUAGCUGAUCCAGUGGCUAACAAUGCAUGGGCUUAUGCCACUAACUUUGUACCUGGAAAAUGAAGAGAGAAUCAGGUUACAACAUUACUCAGUCCUGGUCCUUCUAAUUUCUUGAAAUGUUACUUUCUUAUUGUGGACUCCAUCAUUACUCGUGUUUUAGUAGUGGAAAUCAAGCAUUGUAUCAACAAAGCGUCAGAUCAGAUUUCUCCCUGCUUGAACCUAUGUAUUUGGUACGAAUAUGCCAUAAAUUACUUUAAAAAUUUUCUUCAAAACAUGACUUUCCACAACAGCAAUAUCAAUGCUUCAGAAGCCACAAUAAUAGUUCAGAUCGAGAAACACCUAGAACAUUCAAUAUAACCAAGUUCCUAAUAUGGAAUUCCAAGCUAUUCUCAUCUCUCCCUUUGCAAACAGCAUAUAGGUAAAAUAAUUAAAAGUACACUGGAAUAAAAGAAGGUUUUGGCCUUUGGCACUGUCAAUAAAUGGAUGUUAUCUGAUGGCAUAUAUAGCAUAGUUGCUGUUAAUUACAAGACCAAUAAUCAUUAAGCAAUUUUGUUAAUGUAAUGGGGUUGCUAAUUAUAUUUUAUCUGAGGUAAAUCAUAGAAAAGUGAUAUGCUUCUUAGUUUGUUGUUUCCAUUACUGGUUUAGGUGUUCAUUUCUAAUGGAACACUUUCUCACCAUAUUCAUAUUCAUGAGCAAGACCAAUGAAGAAUCUUCAAGUACUUCUAUGGGAGCUUCGCUUCAGAAUUGCAAGUGAAUUUGCUUCCAUAUCAAAGGCAUGUGCAAGUUUGUCUCUGUAUGGGCCCAAUUGGGAGGAAAGAGUUUGGAACUUAAUUCCUCAUGGACACGUAAGUUCAGACGAAAACGCGUGGGGUAGUUUAGGUAAUUAAAAAAGGUUUAUGUCAUAUAUUAGUUAUUAAGCUAUGGCAUUGGAGCUAUUUUAUUCAUGUAAAUGUAAUACUUUGUAUUUAGAUUCCUCAUUAUAAAUUGUAUAUGUAUCCUUAUACUAUUCAAACUCUAAUGCACAAGGAAAAUCACCA